AAGCAAUCCUCGCACCUCAGCCUCUCAAUGUGUUGGGAUUGCCUAUUUUUAUUUUUUAAUAUAACAAUAGAUCCCCAUAGUUUUCUGAAGAGGCUCUUUCAAGAGCUUCAGGUCUUAUGAGGCUGCAGGGAUCCUAGCAUCUGAGAAGCCAGUGGGGGAAAGAUGGACAAUAGAGAGGGCCUCUUCAGUGUUUUUCCUUUAAUGAGGGUUUGAUCCCCUCAAUGACAGCAUCAGGAUUGGAGAGGACCCAGUGCAUCAUUACCAAGCCCAAGUUGCCUUUGCAAAGAGAACCACCCCAUAAGGAUGAGAACCACCCCAAACCUUCUUGUCUGGAGUCAGAAGGCUCAGGCUGAAAUUCUGUUUCUGCCUCUUCCUUGUGGUGUGCACUUAGGCAAGUGACUUACCUCUCUGUGUGUUGUGUUCUUCACCCUAAAUGGGCACAAUAACAGCACUCACCUCAAACGGCCUGCAAUAUGUAAGCUCUCAGAUGAUGUUUUCCUUUGUGAUAGGUGCAUGGGCAGGUGAAGAGAGUCAAACAUCAGGCCCAGGGUUCUCACUCCACUGCAUUACUCCAUCUACCUGCCCACGGAUAAAUCACUUCACCGUUCUGAGCCUCACUUUCUUCAUUUGUUAAGUGGGCUAAUAAUGGAUGGAUGUCAUAGUGCUGUGUAACAGUAAACAACAACAUGCCAUUAAACAGAAGCUAGUUAUGCAUGUGGAGUAAUGAUGUCUGCAUUUUUGGGGACUGCCAAGUCUGAUAAGAUUGAAGAGCAUCUCAGCUGGGCACGGUAGCUCAUGCCUGUAAUCCCAGCACUUGGGGAGGCUGAGGCGAUGCUCUGUGUCUGAUAGGGGUUAAGGAAGUCAUCACUCCCAUCUGGUCUAUCAAAAGGGCUGCAAAACUAUGCAGGCAAACGACCUGGGCACUGCCUUUAUCGAGCUGUGCAGCCAUUGAACAAGGGCAUCCAACUUCACCAAACUAGGAAAGCCUGCAUGUGCACAUCCAUCUCUGCUGUUGGGAUUGGGGCCUAUGCCUGUUCCCAUUCUGUAUGCUGUGUGCUUGACACAGUGCCUGGUGCAUUACGUGCUCAAGAAAUAUGUAUUGAUUGAUGGAUGAAUAAAUGAAAUCAUCUGCAUCCGUGGAUGAAUAGAUGGUCAAUUACAUUGUCAAUUUUCUACCCUGUGGGUGGAGUGGAAAAAGCAGUCAGAAUCUUGGUCCUUUUGCAAAUGGUGGAAAAGGACAAUAUUUGUAGAGUGUGUACAGACUUUGCAGUCAGAGCCAUGUUCAAUUCUCAAUAUUGCCGUAUCUUAGCAGUGAGCUUAUUCAAACGUCAGUUUAAGAAAAUGUGCUAACCUUCAGCUUCCUCAUCUGUAAAAUGAGGAUAAAAAUAUUGCCUCCUUUAUAAAAUUAUUGUGUAGAUGCUAUAAAUUUGUACAUGCCAGGGCCUGGCAUGUUACCAAAUAGAAGGUGGUAGAAUGGAAAUGAAUCUCCUUCUUACUUCCCCUCUGCACUACACAGAUUUCAAGGAUAUUGUUUUAUACCCAGCCAAGUCUGAAGCACUGGAAGUGGAUCCGAUCUUUUACCUAACUCUAGCAUUGAUGUUUUUUAUUCUGUUGAAGGCAUCAAUAUUUGUUUAAUAGUAUAAAUCUUAAAUAAACAUCUAAACUACAUAUUACAGAUGAUGAAAGUCAUUUCUGCACAGAAGAUUAUCUCACAUGAUCAUGUUUCCUUUGUUAUCUGAGGCCUCUGUAGUUGGCAAAUCUCUGCAGCUACUUAAAUGAUAACAUUAGUCCUAAUGCCAUGUAAAAUGACUAGUUCCUCAGGGUAGGUUUAUUUUUAAUAGUGUAUGUCAGCAGCAAAUAGCUUGGAAGACCCCAGAGGAAAAAGCACAGCUCAGGCUCUCACUGAAGCGAUGAUGUAGAUAUAUUUAAUAUCUAUAUUAAAAACCUUUUAGGUGCCAUGGUGAUAUUGAAUUGGAUAGUUAGGCGUGUGCAGGGAAAAUCCUGGGCUGUUUAUAGAGCAUGAUGGAGUGUGCAUUCUAGAAACCAUUUGAGGUUCUUCAAAGUCAAAUUUGGGCCUCAAAAAUCUUUGAGAGACAUUUGACCCCAGUAGUAAAAUACUCUGAAAUACAAGCUGGGAGAAUAAAAUCACCUCCUUUUCUCUUUCUUGAUAUGCCCGUUGAUAAAUUUGCUGCGCUAUUAAAAUGUUUAAUCACUUGCCUCCAGCAAGAGCAAGCUUCUGUCUGAAGUUGCAAUUUAUUAGAGUGCCCAGAACAUACUUGCUGUUUACCCAAAAGAUGGCCAGGGGAUUCUUACAGAGAAAACAAACCACAAUUUGAAAUCAAGCAUAGAGUGGCAGAUGAAUGGAUUGAAGGCUAAAAUUAUUUUGGAGUUGAUUUCAGGGGAGAGAUGAUAAAACCUGCACUGAUUUUCUAUCCCAAAGGCACAGGGUUAAAUCAUACAGUGGCCACAGGUCUGGCCUGUGAGAUAUCCCUGGGACAGUUGGUAAAAGUGGUGCCUGGCCUGUCUUGGGGAGGGGAGAAGAGGCAGCAGAGGAAAGGGCUGCUUGCUAGAAGCAUACCUUCCAAGAAGAGGCAUUUCUCUCUGCUUUAGGGUUUGGUCAGAGAAGCUCAGCCUGGAAGGACAAUGAACAGAUAGGUGUCUGGUUUCAGCAGAAUGCUGUGCCCAAACCCUCCUCCCUCCUUCUCUUCUAUGGACCUCACUCUGGCCUUUCAGACUCAUCCCAGGCAAACUGAGUCAUGGGGCAGGGAAAUGCCUUCAAGACAGUGAGCAUCAUUCAGUUAUGGCACCUGAAGGCCUCUUGCUAGUGGCACAACACCAUGGACCUAGCCCUUGGAGGAAGUGGAGUGGAGGGGCCCCUUGGAGGGCCAUGGAUAAUUAACUCCUUCCAGAAACUGGUAUCCAGGACUAUGCCUCGGAGGGCGCCUACAGAUAAUGAGCCUACCAUCAGGUCACAAUUUUCUAAACACAGAUGUGUAAAGAUAUAAGGAAUUUCCUGUUUAUCAUCCUGUCUUUGCCUAUACAAAUUCCUUUUUAAAUCUGCAUGAUUGUAUCCCAAACCGGGUUAUAAAGAAUAGCAGAUAUUCUGGCAGAAAAGAAUACUACGGCUUAAUAAAUUUGGGAAAUACUGCAUGCCUUGAAUCACCAGAUACAAUGGCAUAUUAAUGACUCUCCUAUGUCCUGAACUGAAAAACUAGCAAACGAAACUGGUUUCACUCUGUUUCCCCCAGUGUUUCUUCAAAUAGUUUGGCUAUGAACUGCUUUCUUCACAGAACAGCUAUCAUCAUCUUACCUUUGUGGAAGGCAGUUUGAGAAUUGCUGUGUUACGGUAGGCAGAAUUCUAAAAAUGCCCUUGUUUCCCCCAAGAUUCUCCUCUUCUGUUGACUCAAUUGAACAUUAACACAAAUGCUGCUGAGAGGGAAUUUUGCAGAUGCAAAUAAAGCCCUAAGUAAAUCGACUUUAAAAUGUGGAGAGUAUCUGGGUGAACCUGACCCAAUCAGGUGACCUCUUAAUUGAAAAGGUGAGGAUUUGAUGUUCCUUCUGUGGCUUUGAAGGUGGAGGGAACCCCAUGAGAAGGAAUAUGAGCAGCCUGGAGAGGCCGAGACCAACCCCAACCCCCAGCUGACAGUGACAAAAUGUGGAUGUCAGACCUGAAGCCACAAGGAACAGGAUUCUGUCAACAACUGUAAAAAAUUGGAAGCAGAAUAUUUCCCAAAUCCCCCAGAUAAGAACCCAGUUGGCUGACACUUUGAUGUUGGCCUUGUGAGACUCUGAGCAGAGUCCAGGUGAGACUGCCUGGACUUCUGACCUAUAGAAUCGUGGGAUAUUAAAUGGAUGUUGUUUUAAGCUGCUAAAUUUGUGGUAAUUCAUUUCGCAACAACAGAAAACUACUACAUACUGAUUCAGAGAAAUCAAAACAGAAGUGGUACACUCUUCUCUACCCUUUUACAUUCACAAGGUGUUUCCAAUGUAACACUCAUAUAUGGUGAGGGCAGUUGUCUCUCUUUUUACAGGUGAUGAUAUAGACUCAGAGAGAUUAAGUUACUUGCCCAGGACACUCAUCCAGGAAAUGGGGGAAGAGGACUUGAAUGGGCUUUUUUGUGUGUGAGUUAGGAUGGGGUGGGGGCGUGUUUCCUUUACUGUCUUUUGCAUUCAAAUAGGAAAAGGCAUUUGGAGAGACUGCAAUUGGGAGCUUGCAAAGGAGGAUGAAAAAAAAAAAUUCAGGGAAGAACACAUCAAGCAGCAAGUUCAACUGCUUCAUCAGAGAGGUCCUUUCUUUCAUCUCUUGUGUCUGAGCAGAAAAGCUGUUAGAAAAAGGACCUACAGCUGUGAGCCAGUGACAAUGUGUGGGGGCAGGGUCUUAUGAGGCCACCGGAAGUGGGCUGCUGGGAUGCUUUAUAUGGACAACUAAGGGCGAAGACACGCAGGCCUGUAAUAUCAAGAGAAACAGUGUUUGCAGGCUGACCUCCCAGAUGGGUGGUUUGCAGAGGUGGGGCUGCCUGCAUAAUUAAUCAGCUCUAGCUUUCUUCGCCACAACUAGCAUUCCUACCUGUACCCAUAGCCCUUAAGGGGCCCCUCACUCAGUGUCAUGGAGCAGCACAAGUCAUCUGGGACCACUCCCCACUAACCCCCACGGACAGAAGUGGAGACUGAAGCCCAGAAAAGGAACAGGACUUCCUCAAGGUCACAGUCAAGGAUCCCCUAACAUAUGACAAUUCUCUGUGGUGGUUAGUGAUGGCUUCCUGAUGAGCCAGUGUUCAUUACUGAGCAAAUUGUGUGUGUGUGUGUGUAUGUGUGUGUGUGUGUGUUUUGUGUCCAGUAUGAAAGUCAGAACUGUGAAGUGUUACUAUUGUCCUAAUAAUAAUAGAAGUCAAUACCCAUAGAAUAGAUACCCAGUGCUUGAUGCUGUCUUGAAAGUGCUACGUUUUAACUCCAUUCUCACAGCAAGCUCAUGAGGUAGUCGGGAAAUCAUUAGGGUUCUUAACAAAUGUUUCUGUCCAGAAGUGGAUCCAGGUUUUGCCGAGCUUAAAGCUUAUCCAAUUUGUGGGGACCUCUUGAAAGAAAGGAAUACCAACUUACAAAUAUAAAUUAGGCACAGGGUCCCAUGAAAGAGAAGAGCUUGGAAGCAUUACAGUAAGUCUGUUAGUUGCAAGUUAAUGCUCCCUGCCCCUUGUGAAGUUAGGCAAGAGCAUGUAACUUACUUUGGCCAAUGGGAUGUGAAUGAAAUUGAUGUGUGCCACUUCUGGGUGGAAGUCUUAAGACUUAGUGAGUGAUUCUCCACUUUGUUUCCUAACCCUGACUC
RNAcentral lists this long non-coding RNA (5320 nucleotides) under Homo sapiens (human). RNAcentral's name for it is "long non-coding RNA NONHSAT173025.1". Lineage: Eukaryota; Metazoa; Chordata; Mammalia; Primates; Hominidae. The record is from RNAcentral.